Molecule: long non-coding RNA, 1064 nt
Filed under: Theobroma cacao (cacao)
Lineage: Eukaryota; Viridiplantae; Streptophyta; Magnoliopsida; Malvales; Malvaceae
Description: long non-coding RNA (TCAC_LNC000893)
Source: RNAcentral
UAAAAUAAAAAUAUUAAAUAAAAUAUUCUAUUUUCUUAUAAAAUAAUUUUUUUAGAGAUAUCCGUAAAUAAUUUUUGUAGCGUAAAAGCAAAAUAAAUUUGUACAUACAGUAACACAAAUAGUCAAGGUAUGUAAUUAAAUUUACAAUGACACGUGGAUCCCCAAAUGACUAAAAGUAAUGAAGGCUGUGAACCUACAGUUUUUGAGGAAGUAAAGCCAAAUGUAGCCUUCGACAAUAUCAGCUAUCUACAAACUAUCCUGAGCCUGAAAUGGGUGGAAAGGAGGGUGAUGAGAUUAUAUAAUCCCAGUGAGUAAACAAAUACCAUCUAAAAUAUCUAAAGCUGAGUAAAUGGAGACAGAUAAAAUAGAUUAGCAUAAAAAUGAUUCACAGCAUUUCAAACUCAUUUUAAUAAGAUAAAAUAGAUUCAUUUCACCCAAAAUAAAUAACGAGGUUUAUGAUUUCUUGAAAAGCUUGGCUUGUGCCAAAAUCAUUCUCAUACUCAGUUGUCAGGGAUACCUUGGCCUGAGGCUAUCCCAACCGAGUCCGCUAAGGCUGUUAAAAAGUCAUGUAUGCAUAAAUCAUGUUUUUUAUUUUGAAAACAUAGUUGUUCCUUGGCGUUGGCUGAGUUCACCCUCAAGUGAUGGUUUGGCGUGAAGUGAACUCUAAAGUUGUACCUUGAGAGUUACCCUACAUACCUCUCCGAUCGAGGUAAGAAUAUAACGGGAUUUUGUGCCCCUCAAAAAGGCUGGUCCAAAGAACUCGCCCACUGCAGCAAGCUAAACCCACCAUACAAUAAAAUUUGCAAUAGCAUGACAUGGCAAUAAUUUUAUUUUACAGCCUCUCGAGGCUAAUCAACAGUUCAUACAUUUUCAGCACAUUUACCAAUUCAACCAUUCAUGCCAAUAUUAUCAUAAGCCAUUCAAUUCAAACCAUGAUUUAUAACACAACAAUUAGUCUCCAAUUACUCCAUUUUCAAAACCAUCUUUCAAUUUCAAGACAAUUUUAUAAAAUCAUUUCAUUUAAUUACAUUUUGCUUAUAAAACAUAAAGAUUUACCAUUUAAA